GUGAGCAUCUUUUAUAUAAGACCUUCUCUGAUACAACCAAUCUGACAGCCACUCUGGGGCCAGGAGGCUCUCGAAUGUGAUGUCUGCUGGCUGCUGCUCGGGAGAAGCACUUUCAUCUUCUCUAAAAUGCCUGCGUACUCAUUCUUGCCGUCAGCCUGCCUCAGUACUACCGAACAUUCUGGAACGCAGCAUCAGAUGAGCUCCGUUCACCCAGGAGAUGCCCAGGCCAGGCUCCGACUAUUUCAAAUGACAGGACUUGCCUCCAGUCCUGGUCCAGUCCCCCGCCUCCAGGAACUUUCCAUUGAUCUUCAGGUCAAGUUUUUCUCCUCCAUCUCCAUGUUCCACAGAGCACUCUGCUCUGCAGUUCUGCCCUCAGUGCUGGAAAUGGGAAGAGGAGGAAAUUCUAGAUCCCUGCUCUUGGAGAUGGACAGUGGAGUUUCCCAGAGGUGAACAUGGACAGACUGAACGCAGAGUGGAUGAUGAGCAAAUCCAGGUGUCUGCUGAGAUGUCAUUUACGAAACAGAUCUAAUGUACAACCUGGCCACUCUUCUCGUGACACGUUUCUGUGUUUAGGAACAUAGAGCUGGGUUUUUCCCCAAAUAAAAACAGAUCACA
Molecule: long non-coding RNA, 615 nt
Organism: Bubalus bubalis (water buffalo)
Lineage: Eukaryota; Metazoa; Chordata; Mammalia; Artiodactyla; Bovidae
Exons: 3
Source: RefSeq, a predicted model, not a curated record